This is a long non-coding RNA of Lynx canadensis (Canada lynx), 2090 nucleotides long. Lineage: Eukaryota; Metazoa; Chordata; Mammalia; Carnivora; Felidae. The record is from Ensembl.
AUGCCAGCAGUCCCAGCAGGCAUACUCCUUUCUGCCCUUGCUUCUGUGAUACUUCUACUCCUCAGCACAGGACUGGAGCCGCAACCCCCAAGGAGCAUGAGUUCUGGGACAGGGUGCCUUCCUCUGCCCUGGCCAUUCCUCCUGUCUUCCUUCUGUCUUCACUCCAGGGUGGCGCCUAAUGACCCUGUCAAUCUAAGGCACCUUGGAGGAAGUCCCAUGCCUGGGAGGAUCUGGGACACAGCUGUUUAUGGUCACACUGUUUAUCCAGGAUCCAGGAAAGGGACAGAGCAGAGCCUGGCAUGUGCAGAUACCUGGAAGGACUCCCCGGCUGCAAACCAGAUGUGAUCUCCAAGCUGGAACAGUGGGAAGACCCCUGGACUAUGGAGACAGAUGUUCUGAGAGGUCCAGGUGAGUGAAGUAAAGGUCUAUCAGGUCAGUUUUUUUAAUUAAUUUCUCCCCCUAGCUUUGACGUAUAAUUGACAGUUAAAAAUUGUGUAUAUUUAAAGUGUAGAACAUGGUGUUUUGAUAUACAUUGUGAAAUGAUUACCACAAUCCAAAUAAUAGAUAUAUCCAUCUCCUCACAUAGUUGCGAUGUUUUUUUCUGUGGUGGGAAUGCUUACAGUCAACUAACUGUCUUAGGAAAUUUCUAGUAUAUAGUACAGUGUUAUAACUACAGUCACCAUGCUUCAGAUCAGUUUAUUUCUCCUCCUGGGGCAAGGAGGUGCAGUGUAUAUCCAACAGAAAAGAGCUAGUAGGUGCAGGAGCCUGAAAACAAACCCGACAGUCAUUUAACAGUCUCUUCGUUCACUUCCCCCAGCAUCUGACAGCCACUAAUCUGUCUUCUGUCUCUAUGAUUUGCAUCUUCUGAACUUUUCAUAUAAGUGAAGUUUAUAUAAAUAUAUUCAUAUAGAUACAUAUAAAUUCACUUAUUUUUCACAAAGAUACAUGUGCUACUAUGUGUGGCCUUUCUGUAUCUGGCUUCUAACCCUUAAGAAUAGUUCUCUAUGAGGGGCAACUGGGUGGCUCAAUUGGUUAAGCAUCCAAUUUCGGCCCAGGUCAUGAUCUCACAGCUUGUGAGUUUGAACCCAAUGUCAUGCUCUGUGCUGAUAGCUGGGAGCCUGGAGCCUGCUUCAGAUUCUGUGUCUCCCUCUCUCCCUGCCCCACCCCCGCUCAUGCUCUGUCUCUCUCCCCUUCAGAAAUAAAAAAACAUUAAAAAAAAAAAGAAUAGUUCUCUAUGAGCAUUCGCGUGCAGGUUUCUGUUUUCCAUUCUGUUGACCAGGCCCUGUUCUAGUGAGGGCGUGGUUGUAAAAUAGUGGCAGCUGACAGGUGAGGCAGCUCUCAGUGGCCUUGGCCCAUGACUUUCUGUGCUCCGCUCUACCACUUUUCCUCCCUACUGGGCAGAAGAGAGUUGACAGCAGGCAUGAGGCCACCAUUCUCAGAGAGGCCUAGCACAGGGUUGGCCUUUGGCUGGUGUCUGGCAACUUGGAUCAUGGUAGGAUCCCCCCAUUCCCUAAGUGAUAAGAAUGGCUCACUGCACCCAAGCCAUUUGUACAAACAACGUGAUUUACACUGAAUGCCUACUUUCCUCCUGGGAGCCUGGGAUUUUGGUACGUGCUACACAGCCAGUGCCUGCAUGGCCAGCCCCUAGUAAAACCCUAAGCUUGAGCCUCUGACAAACUGUAGACAACACUUCCGUGUCAGAAUCCAGAGCUGGAGGGGUUAGGUGCAUGCUGUGUGGCUCCACUGGGAGAGGACUCUGCCCCUGCACCUUUUCCCUUCGUUGAUUUUGCCUGGUGUCCUUUUGCUCUAACCAGUCACAGCCGUGAGUAUGACUCUGUGCUGAGAACUGUGUUGAGGAAUCACCAAGCCUGUGGGCGACCUUCCAGACCCGGAUCCAUUCACUCUUCUGCCCUCAACUGCAAGAGCCCUGCUGAAAGCCACAUAUCUGCACUGUCCAGUCUGACCGCUGCGGUUCUGUCCAUCUUCCCGAUUGGCCGUGCGUGUGUGGGUUGGAUCCUGAGCAUACUUCUUUGCUUACUUUUCAGGCUCAAAGCCUGGGCCCCGAGCUGCAUGGCUACCUCUAGACAAAG